GAAAUGCGAUAAGUAGUGUGAAUUGCAGAAUUCAGUGAAUCAUCGAAUCUUUGAACGCACAUUGCGCCCCUUGGUAUUCCAUGGGGCAUGCCUGUUCGAGCGUCAUUUGUACCCUCAAGCUCUGCUUGGUGUUGGGUGUUUGUCCCCGUCUCCGCGCGUGGACUCGCCCCAAAGUGAUUGGCAGCCGGCGUACUGGUCCCGGAGCGCAGCACAUGUCGCGCAAACGAGUGCCUUGGUACGGCGGCGUCCAUAAGCCCCUCUCUCACGCUCUUGACCUCGGAUCAGGUAGGGAUACACGCUGAACUUAAGC
Molecule: unclassified non-coding RNA, 310 nt
Filed under: plant metagenome
Description: partial contains 5.8S ribosomal RNA, internal transcribed spacer 2, and large subunit ribosomal RNA
Rfam family: 5.8S ribosomal RNA (bases 1-105)
Source: RNAcentral